GUCGGGCCGGGCUCCAGCCCCCAGCAGCAGGGUCACCAGCCCAGCCUUGCCCAGCCGAGAGGCCUCGUGGAGGGGACAGCGUCCGUUGCAGCCCUCCUGGUUCACCCUGGAGCCCCGCAGGAGCAGCAGCUUCACCAGAAGAUAUCAGGAGGGGCAGAAGUCAGAGCUGAGACUGAAACCAGAGCUGUAUGCCUACAUGGGUUCCAGCAAUGAAGCCAUGUUCCAUAACUCAGUUAAAACAGGUGGCCUGUCCACAAGACUGUGUUAGAUUCACACGCAACACAUCUGUCUCAUUAAUUAGUUCAACUGUAAUUGUGCAGGAAAUAAAAAAGUGGUUCUUUUCGAUCCACGUUAAGCUCUGUCACUACACCACUCUGGACUGGUGGGUGGGGAGGCAGGGCACCUGAUACCUGUUACUAUAUUUACCCCCCUCAGCUGAGUUCUUCAUAGUUAUUCAACACUGUGACACUGCAGGGCAGAGCCAGCUGGAUCAAGCUGUAAAUCGAGUGUCAGGCCUCUGAUGACCAUCAGUCUGAAGUCCCAGCUGACUGCGUCUGAGUCAACAUUCAUUUCCUGCAACUAAUAAACAAUAUUUUACAUGUUUUGUUACAUUUGUUCAUAAUCCUACAUGAGGAUGUCAAAUUUAUCAUUUUUAGAUGUCCAGCUGUUUAAAACCCAGAUGUUCACUUCACAAUUAUACAUGAAAACAGAAAAUCUUGACAAUAGAAAAAUUGGGGCCAGAAACUAUUUUAUACAUUUCUCUAAUAAGAAAACAUCUCAUAAUACUGUAUAGCUGUCAUUUUGAUGCACAUUUCACUGUAAACUGAAGCAACUUCAAUUCUUUGAAUGGCACUGUUACUUUUAUUCUAGUCUUGUCUCUUUUGAACAUUUUCUAUUGAAGCCUACUUGUUCUAAUGUUUGUUUCUUAAUUUCUUGUUUUCAAAUGCAAUUUCUCAUGUCUUUUAGUGUAAUCUGUAUGCUCCCGUUAAGCACUUGCUUUCUGUCUGAACUGCUCUAUACCAAUAAACUUACCUCACUAUAAAAUAUGUACAUCAUGAAGUAGAACAUAUUUUUCAGCUAGUUUUAAGACAUCAGUAAACAUUUACAAAGAAACAUUAAGAACCAGAACUGUGGCAGCAUUAGCUGUUUAUUCCACAACCCCUUCUGUCAACACUUGGCUAAGACACCGAACCCCAAAAUGCUCCUGAUGGGCAGGUUAACACCUUGCACACCUGCAUGCCAAACUGUUAGUGCACUUUGUCAAUUAAGGUAGACAUAAGGACAGGAAACUAGACUUCAUGUAUACUUAUUACACAAUUUAAGUGUUUCCUCAAAAGACAUCUGUUUUACUACACUCAUUAACAAGUAGCCAAGCAUGUGAAAAUGUAACCAACUCUGUUCCGUCCAUUUAAAGCCCAUGUACCAGAAAAAAAGUGGGAAAAACACAUUAUCCCUUGGAAAUUUGUGACACAUCAUUUUAUUACUUAAAAAAAUAAAACCAGCAAUCCUGCAAUAACCAAGCAAAGUUUUCGUUGGACUAAUUUCCAUGCUUUUACAUCAGUAACACUUGUGAAAAAAAGCACACCACACAACGAGAGUGUAAUUGAAAACAUGUUUAUUUCAUUUUCUGUCUCAACUGUUUAUGACCUGGGUCUCUCCUUCUUGCCUUUGUACAGUGCCAGCAGGGAGACGUUGGCCACCUUGACCACCUUAAAACGAACUCCAGGAA
Acanthopagrus latus (yellowfin seabream) is the source of this 1729-nucleotide long non-coding RNA. RefSeq lists it as uncharacterized. The transcript is spliced from 2 exons. Lineage: Eukaryota; Metazoa; Chordata; Actinopteri; Spariformes; Sparidae. The record is from RefSeq and is a predicted model, not a curated record.